This 403-nucleotide ribosomal RNA is filed under the name uncultured bacterium. RNAcentral describes it as "bacterial SSU rRNA". It matches the Rfam family "Bacterial small subunit ribosomal RNA", at positions 29 to 416 of the family's 1533-position model. The record is from RNAcentral.
AACGAACGCUGGCGGCGUGCCUAACACAUGCAAGUCGAGCGGGAAAGUUCCCUUCGGGGAGCGAGUACAGCGGCGAACGGGUGAGUAACACGUAGGUAACCUACCCUGGAGUCCGGGAUAACCUGCCGAAAGGCGGGCUAAUACCAGAUAAGACCACGAGGGCUGCGGCCCUUGGGGAAAAAGAUGGCCUCUGCUUGCAUGCUAUCACUCCGGGAUGGGCCUGCGCGCCAUUAGCAGUUGGUGAGGUAACGGCUCACCAAGGCUGAGAUGGCUAGCUGGUCUGAGAGGAUGGCCAGCCACACUGGGACUGAGGCACGGCCCAGACUCCUACGGAGGCAGCAGUGGGAAUAUUGCGCAAAUGGGCGAAAGCCUGACGCAGCGACGCGCGUGGGUGAUGAAGGCC